AGCAUUGAAGUUUUCGGAUGGAUAUGCUGAGUGGCGGACGGGUGAGUAACACGUGGAUACCUGCCUCACACUGGGGGACAACAGUUAGAAAUGACUGCUAAUACCGCAUAAGACCGCAUGGUAAAAACUCCGGUGGUGUGAGAUGGAUCCGCGUCUGAUUAGCCAGUUGGCGGGGUAACGGCCCACCAAAGCGACGAUCAGUAGCCGACCUGAGAGGGUGACCGGCCACAUUGGGACUGAGACACGGCCCAAACUCCUACGGGAGGCAGCAGUGGGGAAUAUUGCACAAUGGGCGAAAGCCUGAUGCAGCGACGCCGCGUGAGUGAAGAAGUAUUUCGGUAUGUAAAGCUCUAUCAGCAGGGAAGAUAAUGACGGUACCUGACUAAG
Molecule: ribosomal RNA, 387 nt
Filed under: uncultured bacterium
Lineage: Bacteria
Description: bacterial SSU rRNA
Rfam family: Bacterial small subunit ribosomal RNA
Source: RNAcentral